Molecule: ribosomal RNA, 497 nt
Filed under: uncultured bacterium
Lineage: Bacteria
Description: partial 16S ribosomal RNA
Rfam family: Bacterial small subunit ribosomal RNA
Source: RNAcentral
GAUGAACGCUGGCGGCGUGCCUAAUACAUGCAAGUCGAGCGAACGGACGAGAAGCUAGCUUUUCUGAUGUUAGCGGCGGACGGGUGAGUAACACGUGGAUAACCUACCUAUAAGACUGGGAUAACUUCGGGAAACCGGAGCUAAUACCGGAUAAUAUUUUGAACCGCAUGGUUCAAAGGUGAAAGACGGUCUUGCUGUCACUUAUAGAUGGAUCCGCGCUGCAUUAGCUAGUUGGUAAGGUAACGGCUUACCAAGGCAACGAUGGAUAGCCGACCUGAGAGGGUGAUCGGCCACACUGGAACUGAGACACGGUCCAGACUCCUACGGGAGGCAGCAGUAGGGAAUCUUCCGCAAUGGGCGAAAGCCUGACGGAGCAACGCCGCGUGAGUGAUGAAGGUCUUCGGAUCGUAAAACUCUGUUAUUAGGGAAGAACAUAUGUGUAAGUAACUGUGCACAUCUUGACGGUACCUAAUCAGAAAGCCACGGCUAACUACGUG